Molecule: unclassified non-coding RNA, 340 nt
Filed under: fungal sp.
Lineage: Eukaryota; Fungi
Description: partial internal transcribed spacer region
Rfam family: Eukaryotic small subunit ribosomal RNA (bases 1-48)
Source: RNAcentral
AAGUCGUAACAAGGUUUCCGUAGGUGAACCUGUGCGGAAGGAUCAUUAUCAUUUUGAUCUAAUCCUAAACAAACCGUGAACUGUUCUUUUGUUGUUCUUUGGACCGAAAGGUUUAUCGAAUGGCAAAUGCCUUGAGUGCUCUAUCGGGGAGAUUUGAUUAGAGGUGAUUCACUUCGUUUCUUUUCUUAUUUCUCUUUUAGAGUGCUUUUAACCAAUUGAACCAAUUUUAAUUUAUGACUGAAUUAUUCUUUUUCUUACCUAACCUAAAAAAUUAGGAAGAAGAAAAAGUUUCUUUAAUGAAACAAUAGUACAACUCUUAGCAACGGAUGUCUCGGCUCUC